This 440-nucleotide ribosomal RNA is filed under the name uncultured bacterium. RNAcentral's name for it is "partial 16S ribosomal RNA". It matches the Rfam family "Bacterial small subunit ribosomal RNA", at positions 338 to 795 of the family's 1533-position model. The record is from RNAcentral.
CCUACGGGAGGCAGCAGUGGGGGAUAUUGCACAAUGGGGGAAACCCUGAUGCAGCGACGCCGCGUGUGGGAAGACGGUCCUCUGGAUUGUAAACCACUGUCCCCAGGGACGAAGAUGACGGUACCUGGGGAGGAAGCUCCGGCUAACUACGUGCCAGCAGCCGCGGUAAUACGUAGGGAGCGAGCGUUGUCCGGAAUUACUGGGUGUAAAGGGAGCGUAGGCGGAGGUGCAAGUCAGCGGUCAAAUUGCGGGGCUCAACCCCGUACUGCCGUUGAAACUGCAUCCCUUGAGUGCGCGAGAAGUAUGCGGAAUGCGUGGUGUAGCGGUGAAAUGCAUAGAUAUCACGCAGAACUCCGAUUGCGAAGGCAGCAUACCGGCGCGCAACUGACGCUCAUGCACGAAAGCGUGGGUAUCGAACAGGAUUAGAUACCCUUGUAGUC